UACAGAGGGUGCAAGCGUUAAUCGGAAUUACUGGGCGUAAAGCGUGCGUAGACGGUCACGUAAGUCGGGUGUGAAAGCCCCGGGCUCAACCUGGGAAUGGCAUUCGAGACUGCUCUGCUAGGGUGCGGAAGAGGGGAGCGGAAUUUCCGGUGUAGCGGUGAAAUGCGUAGAUAUCGGAAGGAACACCAGUGGCGAAAGCGGCUCCCUGGUCCAGCACCGACGUUCAGGCACGAAAGCGUGGGGAGCAAACAGG
Molecule: ribosomal RNA, 253 nt
Filed under: uncultured bacterium
Lineage: Bacteria
Description: partial 16S ribosomal RNA
Rfam family: Bacterial small subunit ribosomal RNA
Source: RNAcentral